GACGAACGCUGGCGGCGUGCCUAAUACAUGCAAGUUGAGCGAUGAAGAUUGGUGCUUGCCCCAAUUUGAAGAGCAGCGAACGGGUGAGUAACGCGUGGGGAAUCUGCCUUUGAGCGGGGGACAACAUUUGGAAACGAAUGCUAAUACCGCAUAACAACUUUAAACAUAAGUUUUAAGUUUGAAAGAUGCAAUUGCAUCACUCAAAGAUGAUCCCGCGUUGUAUUAGCUAGUUGGUGAGGUAAAGGCUCACCAAGGCGAUGAUACAUAGCCGACCUGAGAGGGUGAUCGGCCACAUUGGGACUGAGACACGGCCCAAACUCCUACGGGAGGCAGCAGUAGGGAAUCUUCGGCAAUGGACGAAAGUCUGACCGAGCAACGCCGCGUGAGUGAAGAAGGUUUUCGGAUCGUAAAACUCUGUUGGUAGAGAAGGACGUUGGUGAGAGUGGAAAGCUCAUCAAGUGACGGUAACUACCCAGAAAGGGACGGCUAACUACGUG
RNAcentral lists this ribosomal RNA (497 nucleotides) under uncultured bacterium. RNAcentral's name for it is "partial 16S ribosomal RNA". It matches the Rfam family "Bacterial small subunit ribosomal RNA", at positions 28 to 507 of the family's 1533-position model. The record is from RNAcentral.